This is a long non-coding RNA of Nerophis ophidion (straightnose pipefish), 1761 nucleotides long. RefSeq lists it as uncharacterized. The transcript has 6 exons. The record is from RefSeq and is a predicted model, not a curated record. NCBI's taxonomy places the organism in Eukaryota, Metazoa, Chordata, Actinopteri, Syngnathiformes, Syngnathidae.
UUUCAUGGGGUCGGCUCCACUUGUGUGGCUCUUUGUGUAUUUUGGGGAGCAGGUAAAACCUGCGGGGCCGGGGGUCCGCUUCGCCCAAAAGGUAAGUCUUUUGUUUGUCGUUAAUAAAUCGUUUUUUAAGCAAAUUUUUGAUAAUGUGGUCUGUCAUGGGAAUAGUUUGGGGGUAAAUGGGUGUGGUCAAAGGUAAGUAAUAAGUCGUGUCGUUCAACUGUCUGGUGCCCUCCCAGACAUAUUGAGACCUAUCCAUAAUCACCACUGCGCUUCCCUUGUCUGCCGGUUUUAUGACAAUGUCUUUAUUGUUUUUGAGGCUGUGGAGGGCCUCAGUUUCGUCCCGGGUGAGGUUGGGCGCCACCGUGAGGGCGCAACCCGACAGGAGCGAUGGGUGUUGAUCCGCCCGGACCAGCAUGUGGACCUCCGGAGGUAGCAAACCCGGUGAGGGCUCCCAUUCGGACCUCGAGGUCGUAUUUGACUUGAUGGUGCCACUCGGGACUGAGGUUGACGGACGGGACAAAAGUGAGGCCUUUGUCGAGGAGGGAGCGCUGCGAGGAGGUGAGUAUAAAGUGUUUUGAUAAGUUUACGAUGUUAUUGUUGGUGGUGGUGUUGUUGUUGUUGUUGUUGUUGUUGUUGUUGUUUGUGUUUCCCCCCCGACAGGUCGGGUUUUUGGGGACGCCAAGUUUAAAUGGUGCAGCCAGUGCUUCAGCAUGUGCUUGGCAGUCUCCUCAGUCCAGUGCAGGUUAUCCCUUCCUGUAGCAAACUCAUCAUGGGGCUUCCGAGAAAUUAAUCAGGGGGAUAAAGAUUUCGGCGUUGGGGAAGACCGUUUUGGCCACCUUGAGGGCCCUUUGAAUUUGCUUAAAGGAUGGCCUCUGCAUGCCGAAAGUUGGCGCCUGGGUAGCUGUCCAUCUGAAGGUCCUGGAGACGGACAGGUGGAAGACGACUGAUGUUGGAGUCACCAAUCACCAGGACCUUCUUGUCGACAGACAGGCCGAAGUGCCGGUUCUAGGCCCUUUCCGGAUUCCCGAAAAAAAUUGGGACCAGCUGGGACCCGCUUCAGGAACCGGAGUACGUGGAGGAGGAGUGUCCACGAGGGGCACGUCCGGAAGAGGCGCGUCCGGGAGGGGCGCGUCCAGGAGGGAGGCCGUCGGUGAGGGUGGUCCCGGUGGGCCAGAACUAAGUUGAGACCAACUAGGAGGCGUGUCAGGGGGCAGCUGGGACCACCCUGGAGGCACCUGAGGGGAUGACGCCGGCUGCUCAGAUGGCGGUGGCGCGUCCGAGACCGCAGGAGGGACCCUGACUUCGGUCUCGACCCGCGAAUGCGGCCCGGGUGGCGGGACCAGGGGAGCCUCGACAAUGGAAUUGUCGGGAGGACUGCUGCAGGGCUCCUGGGGUCGUGCCAUUCUCUGGGGCCUGGAUGGUGCUGUGGCCAGAGAAGAAGGUGACAAAACCGGGAAGGGGACCGGGGUGACAGGUCCCCUAGGACCCGGAACCGGUUCCACCACCGGGGACCAGUCCCCGACCACCGGAUCGGUCAUGGUGGACGCCGUGGCGCGCGCAGGAGCGUGCAGGGUUGGAACCGCCAGCGGCAUGGUGGACACCGUGGCGCGCGCAGGAGCGUGCAGGGUUUGAACCGGCAGGGUUGGACCCGGCAGGGGCCGCAAGGGUUGCACCGGGGGGUGCACUGCAUCCACCACCAUUCGGGUGCUGGACGGGUCCAAGCGGACUGGUGACCCCGUCUGCUGCGAUCGUGCGGGACUC